UCGGGAAUUUUGUGCAAUGGGCGAAAGCCUGACCCAGCAACGCCGCGUGAAGGAUGAAGUAUUUCGGUAUGUAAACUUCGAAAGAAUAGGAAGAAUAAAUGACGGUACUAUUUAUAAGGUCCGGCUAACUACGUGCCAGCAGCCGCGGUAAUACGUAGGGACCAAGCGUUGUUCGGAUUUACUGGGCGUAAAGGGCGCGUAGGCGGCAAUUCAAGUCAUCUGUGAAAUCUCCGGGCUUAACUCGGAACGGUCAGAUGAUACUGCUUUGCUAGAGUGCAGAAGGGGCAAUCGGAAUUCUUGGUGUAGCGGUGAAAUGCGUAGAUAUCAAGAGGAACACCUGAGGUGAAGACGGGUUGCUGGGCUGACACUGACGCUGAGGCGCGAAAGCCAGGGGAGCAAACGGGAUUAGAUACCCUUGUAGUCCCUGAGCGGGCUGGCAAGGCGCAU
Molecule: ribosomal RNA, 447 nt
Filed under: uncultured bacterium
Lineage: Bacteria
Description: bacterial SSU rRNA
Rfam family: Bacterial small subunit ribosomal RNA
Source: RNAcentral